GACGAACGCUGGCGGCGUGCUUAACACAUGCAAGUCGAACGGGUCUGCCCUGUUUUUUGCGGGGUGGGUCAGUGGCGAACGGGUGAGUAACACGUGAGUAACCUGCCCCUCACUUCUGGAUAACCGCUUGAAAGGGUGGCUAAUACGGGGUGUUCUGGCUGUGCCGCAUGGUGUGGCUGGGAAAGAUUCACUUUUGUGGUGUUUUGGUGGGGGAUGGGCUCGCGGCCUAUCAGCUUGUUGGUGGGGUGAUGGCCUGCCAAGGCUUUGACGGGUAGCCGGCCUGAGAGGGUGGGCGGUCACACUGGGACUGAGAUACGGCCCAGACUCCUGCGGGAGGCAGCAGUGGGGGGUAUUGCACAAUGGGCGGAAGCCUGAUGCAGCGACGUCGCGUGAGGGAUGGGGGCCUUCGGGUUGUGAACCUCUUUCGCCGGUGAAGAAGGUCCUGCUCUUUGUGGGGGGGUUGACGGUAGUCGGGUUAUGAAGCGCCGGCUAACUACGUG
This 500-nucleotide ribosomal RNA is filed under the name uncultured bacterium. RNAcentral's name for it is "partial 16S ribosomal RNA". It matches the Rfam family "Bacterial small subunit ribosomal RNA", at positions 28 to 507 of the family's 1533-position model. The record is from RNAcentral.